UACGAGUGGUCCGAGCGUUAUCCGGAUUCAUUGGGCGUAAAGCGUCCGCAGGUGGUCGCCCAAGUUUUUCGUUAAAUGUUUAGGCUCAACCUGAACACCGCGAGAAACACUAGGCGACUUGAGGCUGGGAGAGGGAAACGGAACGGCUGGUGUAGGGGUAAAAUCCGUUCAUAUCAGCUGGAACACCAAAGGCGAAGGCAGUUUCCUAGAACAGACCUGACACUCAUGGACGAAAGCGUGGGGAACAAAAGGAUUAGAACC
RNAcentral lists this ribosomal RNA (261 nucleotides) under uncultured bacterium. RNAcentral's name for it is "partial 16S ribosomal RNA". It matches the Rfam family "Bacterial small subunit ribosomal RNA", at positions 524 to 785 of the family's 1533-position model. The record is from RNAcentral.